This 202-nucleotide long non-coding RNA is filed under the name Mytilus galloprovincialis (Mediterranean mussel). The record is from RNAcentral. Lineage: Eukaryota; Metazoa; Mollusca; Bivalvia; Mytilida; Mytilidae.
CAAUAAGCCAGCGAACAAUAAGGCGAUAUAUCGAGAAACCAAACAACAGAAUAUGACAACAACGGCCGUUAAAUAAAAAAAUAUUCAAAAAGGCAGAAAAUCCGUUAAAAUAUAGCAAUUUUAACUCAAUUUUGAAAUGGUUUUUAUCCCAUCUAUUGAUAAAACAAGUCACAUCUCUUUUUAGGCUAAUAUUCAGUACCAC